CUGUAUAAAAUACAUAUGCCACAUUGCGUGAAAUAUUAUAAUGUAUAUAUAAUAUGUAUUGUAUUGUUAACGCAUAUGACGGUUCCGUGAUAUUGGAUACGUACACACGCACGCUUGUCGUGUAUAUGUGUAUAUAUAUCCUAUAUAUUGCGGUCCGUUUAAAUAUUGUCUAACGACACACGUUGAUUAUAAUUUAUAUAUCAUACGACAAUGUUAGAGAUUAUUAUAAUAUUUGUCGAACGAUCGACGGUGUUACCGUCGAUGCGCUUUCCCGGGUAAGGUGGGACGCUUUGGAUUCUUCGAGUUGGUGUGUUAUGUAACAAUAUCACACAUACGAGAGGGUUGAUGGCGUGUGCAUGUUUUCAACAAGUUCAACACCGUACACAUGUCGCGAGACACGUAAAUAUUAACAAUCCUCUAUAUGACAAUUGACGUAUACACAAAGAUAUGUAAGCCUUAAAAAUCAUCGACAGUAGGCGGACUCGACGUCCGAAGAGCGCAUCGACGCCGCCGUCGUUAUCGAUCGUUAUUAUGUAAAAAAAUGUAACGUGUCGUAGCGGUUGCGUCGUCGUAACGCUGACGGAUAUCGCGUCUGCCUCAUUUUUUUAUCGUUGGCCUCAGAUCAGGGAGGAUCACCCGCCGAAUUUAAGCAUAUUAGUAAGCGGAGGAAAAGAAACUAACUAGGAUUUCCUUAGUAGCGGCGAGCGAACAGGAAAGAAGCCCAGCACUGAAUCCCGCCGUUGUUCAGGCGGCGGGAGAUGUGGUGUUCGGGAGGUUCCGCUUUCUCGUCGCGAUCGCUCCUGUCCAAGUUCGUCUUGAACGGGGCCGUUUUCCCGUAGAGGGUGCCAGGCCCGUAGCGACGGAGGAUCGCGGCGAGAGGGACUCUCCUUAGAGUCGGGUUGCUUGAGAGUGCAGCCCUAAGUGGGUGGUAA
Molecule: small RNA, 932 nt
Filed under: Catocala blandula
Lineage: Eukaryota; Metazoa; Arthropoda; Insecta; Lepidoptera; Erebidae
Description: eukaryotic LSU rRNA
Rfam family: Eukaryotic large subunit ribosomal RNA (bases 613-932)
Source: RNAcentral